UACGUAGGGUGCAAGCGUUAAUCGGAAUUACUGGGCGUAAAGCGUGCGCAGGCGGCUAUGCAAGACAGAUGUGAAAUCCCCGGGCUCAACCUGGGAACUGCAUUUGUGACUGCAUAGCGUAGAGUACGGUAGAGGGGGAUGGAAUUCCGCGUGUAGCAGUGAAAUGCGUAGAUAUGCGGAGGAACACCGAUGGCGAAGGGCAAUCCCCCUGGGCCUGCA
Molecule: ribosomal RNA, 219 nt
Filed under: uncultured bacterium
Lineage: Bacteria
Description: partial 16S ribosomal RNA
Rfam family: Bacterial small subunit ribosomal RNA
Source: RNAcentral